This 83-nucleotide transfer RNA is filed under the name Elusimicrobiota bacterium. RNAcentral's name for it is "Elusimicrobia bacterium (groundwater metagenome) tRNA-Leu". It matches the Rfam family "tRNA". Rfam says of the family: Transfer RNA (tRNA) molecules are approximately 80 nucleotides in length. Their secondary structure includes four short double-helical elements and three loops (D, anti-codon, and T loops). Further hydrogen bonds mediate the characteristic L-shaped molecular structure. tRNAs have two regions of fundamental functional importance: the anti-codon, which is responsible for specific mRNA codon recognition, and the 3' end, to which the tRNAs corresponding amino acid is attached (by aminoacyl-tRNA synthetases). tRNAs cope with the degeneracy of the genetic code in two manners: having more than one tRNA (with a specific anti-codon) for a particular amino acid; and 'wobble' base-pairing, i.e. permitting non-standard base-pairing at the 3rd anti-codon position. The record is from RNAcentral. Lineage: Bacteria; Pseudomonadati; Elusimicrobiota.
GCCUGGGUGGCGGAAUGGCAGACGCUCAGCACUUAAAAUGCUGUGGCCGCAAGGCCGUGCGGGUUCGACUCCCGCCCCGGGCA